RNAcentral lists this ribosomal RNA (689 nucleotides) under Hoplobatrachus tigerinus (Indus valley bullfrog). RNAcentral describes it as "partial 12S rRNA". It matches the Rfam family "Bacterial small subunit ribosomal RNA", at positions 318 to 1389 of the family's 1533-position model. The record is from RNAcentral. Lineage: Eukaryota; Metazoa; Chordata; Amphibia; Anura; Dicroglossidae.
ACCUAGUCCCACCACACCCCCAAGGGUAUUCAGCAGUGAUAGAUAUUGUCUAUAAGCGCUAGCUUGACCCAGUUAUAGAGAAGAGAGCCGGCCAACUUGGUGCCAGCCGCCGCGGCUAGACCAACUGGACUCAAAUUGAUAAUCCCCGGCGUUAAGCGUGAUUAAAGCCAUGAACAAAUUAGAGUUAAACCUACGUUGAGCAGUGAAAAGCACACGAUAGGGAAAUCCAAAAACGAAAGUUAUUCUAAUCCUUGCUUGAAUACACGACAGCUAGGACACAAACUGGGAUUAGAUACCCCACUAUGCCUAGCCGUAAACUAUUAACCUACACCCACCCGCGCCAGGGAACUACGAGCUUUAGCUUAAAACCCAAAGGACUUGACGGUGUCCCACCCAACUAGAGGAGCCUGUUCUAUAAUCGAUGAUCCCCGCUCCACCCAACCCCCCCUUGCUUUAUCAGCCUGUAUACCUCCGUCGUAAACCCGCCGUAUGAAUGUACCCAAGCGGAUUUAAUGGUCCCACACCAACACGUCAGGUCAAGGUGCAGCCAAUGGGAGAGGUAAGUGAUGGGCUACAAUUUCUAGUCUAGAACAAACGAAAUUCUGCAUGAAACACAGUUAUGAAGGAGGAUUUAGUAGUAAAAAGAAAGUAGCGUGUUCUUUUUAACAUGGCCCUGGGACGUGUACACA